UCCGAGCUGUCCCGGGCAGAACCGCAGCGAAUGAUCGCGAGGUAUAGGGGGGGUUUCGGUCUGUUCCUUCAUCCAGGGAGCCCCGAGAUAACGGAGCAGUCUGGCAGCUCUAGCGAGAGCAGCUGACGAGGCGUGAGCGUUGCCAGGGCAACGGCUCUGCAUCCACGCACCCUCGCCUAGAGAAAGCCUCCGGGAGGGCAGCGAUCGCUGCUCGCCAGGACGGAGAGGAGGAGUCAGGGUGUGUGAAUCACGUGGGUCGGGCAAACGUGGAGAAACCGGAAAAGGGAGGAACAGCAGCCACACCUAGGGGAUGUUGAGCAGUGCAUCAGGCCUUGUGGAAACAAAAAGGAAGCAGUAAAUCUUCUCAGCAAGAGCAGAAAAGAAGGAAGAAUAAGAAUGAAGAACCAUGUGUGAGGGAAAACAGAUGCAGCAAUGUUCUUGUGAACAUACUGAAAUACCACGGUGACAAGCACAGGAGGUCAGCCUGGAAAGGAAAUCAGUGAAGUGCAUCAGUAUCCUGUGGCAUAUUGUCUCACAUUGUUUUCAGCAUGCAAAUUUUUUAUGCCAGAGAUCAGACUUUUGGUUAUAAAUCAAUGGGAAAUAUAGUAUAAAAAUGAAGAAAGAAAAAAAAGAAAGAAAGAAAAAUAAUAAAAAAGAAAAUAGUAACCAACAUAAAGAACCAGAAAGGAAUCAGUAUGGAUAAGAUAAAUGGAUGUCGGAAGGAAUGUUAGGCAUGUUUACCUGUGUGUAGAUAAACAGUGACUAGAUUUCUUGCUUAAACUUUUUUACUUUUCUUCCUAAGUUUUUGCCUGAGGCACACCAAAUUUUUCUCAAGACUGAUUGUAAUAAAUGUAUUUGUCUUGAAUGUGUGUGGUUCUUGAGCCAGAAGUGCACUUGCAGCCCAGAAGACCAACUGAAUCCUCGGCUGCAUCAAGAGACGAGUGGCUAGCAGGGAGAGCAGGUAACUCUCCCCCUUCACUCUGCCCUCAUGAGACCUAAUUUGGAGUACUGUGUCCAGGCCUGAGGCCUUAAAAACCAGAAUGAUAUGAAACAGUUGGAGUGGAUCCUGGGGAUGG
Non-coding RNA from Meleagris gallopavo (turkey), 1076 nucleotides. The record is from RefSeq and is a predicted model, not a curated record. NCBI's taxonomy places the organism in Eukaryota, Metazoa, Chordata, Aves, Galliformes, Phasianidae.